ACACAUGCAAGUCGAACGAGAGAGAGGGAGCUUGCUUCCUUGAUCGAGUGGCGAACGGGUGAGUAACGCGUGAGGAACCUGCCUCAAAGAGGGGGACAACAGUUGGAAACGACUGCUAAUACCGCAUAAGCCCACGGCUCGGCAUCGAGCAGAGGGAAAAGGAGCAAUCCGCUUUGAGAUGGCCUCGCGUCCGAUUAGCUAGUUGGUGAGGUAAUGGCCCACCAAGGCGACGAUCGGUAGCCGGACUGAGAGGUUGAACGGCCACAUUGGGACUGAGACACGGCCCAGACUCCUACGGGAGGCAGCAGUGGGGAAUAUUGCACAAUGGGGGAAACCCUGAUGCAGCGACGCCGCGUGGAGGAAGAAGGUCUUCGGAUUGUAAACUCCUGUUGUUGAGGAAGAUAAUGACGGUACUCAACAAGGAAGUGACGGCUAACUACGUGCCAGCAGCCGCGGUAAAACGUAGGUCACAAGCGUUGUCCGGAAUUACUGGGUGUAAAGGGAGCGCAGGCGGGCGAUCAAGUUGGAAGUGAAAUCCAUGGGCUCAACCCAUGAACUGCUUUCAAAACUGAUUGUCUUGAGUAGUGCAGAGGUAGGCGGAAUUCCCGGUGUAGCGGUGGAAUGCGUAGAUAUCGGGAGGAACACCAGUGGCGAAGGCGGCCUACUGGGCACCAACUGACGCUGAGGCUCGAAAGUGUGGGUAGCAAACAGGAUUAGAUACCCUGGUAGUCCACACCGUAAACGAUGAUUACUAGGUGUUGGAGGAUUGACCCCUUCAGUGCCGCAGUUAACACAAUAAGUAAUCCACCUGGGG
This 814-nucleotide ribosomal RNA is filed under the name uncultured bacterium. RNAcentral's name for it is "bacterial SSU rRNA". It matches the Rfam family "Bacterial small subunit ribosomal RNA", at positions 51 to 878 of the family's 1533-position model. The record is from RNAcentral.